Molecule: ribosomal RNA, 667 nt
Filed under: Diploscapter formicidae
Lineage: Eukaryota; Metazoa; Nematoda; Chromadorea; Rhabditida; Rhabditidae
Description: eukaryotic LSU rRNA
Rfam family: Eukaryotic large subunit ribosomal RNA
Source: RNAcentral
GAAAGUUGCAAAGAACUUUGAAAAGAGAGUUCAAGAGAGCGUGAAACCACCGGAGUGGAAGCGGAUAGAGCCGACGUAGUCUUGUGGCAAAACCGUUCGCGUAUAGGCGAUCCGUCGUUGAUCGUCCUAGCGUAGCGGUGGUCGCCUACAGUGACUGCAUCGACGGCGUUGACGUUUUGCGCAUUCACGAGUCCGUUCGAUUGUUGCCCCGAUGCCGCUUGCGGUACUUGGGUGUCUUAUCGAUGCGGUACUCUGGUUUGUCGCCGUCAGCGUUGUGCACUCAAUUGUCCCACGUGGCAAUGUGCGUCGAUGUGAAAGUCGGUCACCUAUCCGGCCCGUCUUGAAACACGGACCGUGGAGUGUAGCUACUAUGCGAGUCGAAGAGUGCUCAAAACUCUAUAUCGGCGUAAUGAAAGUAAAGACCGACUCGUUCGGUUGACAUGGGAUUUGGUGGCUCUCGUGGUCUGCCAACGCACCAUGGUCCUAUCCGAAUGGCUUGCCAUUGGGUAGAGAUAGAGCAUAGUGGCUGCGACCCGAAAGAUGGUGAUCUAUGCUUGAGCAGGACGAAGCCAGAGGAAACUCUGGUGGAAGUCCGCAUCGGUUUUGACGUGCAAAUCAAUCGAUAGACUUGAGUAUAGGGGCGAAAGACUCAUCGAACCAUCUAGUA